This is a long non-coding RNA of Pristis pectinata (smalltooth sawfish), 150 nucleotides long. RefSeq lists it as uncharacterized. The record is from RefSeq and is a predicted model, not a curated record. The transcript has 4 exons. Lineage: Eukaryota; Metazoa; Chordata; Chondrichthyes; Rhinopristiformes; Pristidae.
UGAACUUAGAGCAUGGCCCAUGCUGAUCACAGACAACAAAGAGAAGUUUGAAAUCCCUGACCUACAACAGAUGAACUGCAGUCAUACUGCUUUUGCUUGUUUUAACAAGCAGAUGAACAUUCUUCCAGAAACUUUAUCCGUGUUAAGGCU